This 760-nucleotide long non-coding RNA is filed under the name Homo sapiens (human). RNAcentral's name for it is "HSALNT0393812". The record is from RNAcentral. Lineage: Eukaryota; Metazoa; Chordata; Mammalia; Primates; Hominidae.
CCCGCUCAGCUUCCCAAAGUGCUAGGAUUACAGGCAUGAGCCACUGUGCUCAGCCCCCAACCCACUUUAUGCUUCAUCUUGAGGGAACAUCACAGUGGGUAAAAUAUGGUUUAUGUUUACACAUGGGGCGAGGGUGAGCGAAUGGAGUGGAGAUGCUGUACUGGAAGGGCCAUUUCUUUCUUUUUUUCUUUUUUCUUUUCUUUUUUUUUUUUUUUUUGAAACAGAGUCUCACUCUGUCAUCCAGGCUGGAGUGCAGUGGCACGAUCUCAGCUCACUGCAACCUCUGCCUCCCAGGUUCAAGCGAUUCUCCUGCUUCAGCCUCAUGAGCAGCUGGGAUUACAGGCAUGCACUACCAUGCCUGGCCAACUUUCGUAUUUUAGUAGAGACAGAGUUUCACCAUGUUGGCCAGGCUGGUCUCAAACUCCUGACCUCAAAUGAUCCGUAGAAGGGCCAUUUCUUUCUUUCUUUUUUUUUUUUUUUUUUUUGAGACGGCGUCUCGCUCUGUCACCCAGGCUGGAGUGCAAUGGCAUGAUCUUGGCUCACUGCAAUCUCCACCUCCCGGGUUCAAGCGAUUCUCCCGCCUCAGCCUCCCAAGUAGCUGGGACUACAGGCGCCCGCCACCAUGCCCAGCUAAUUUUUAUAUUUUUAAUAGAGACGAGGUUUCGCCAUGUUGGCCAGGAUGGUCUCGAUCUCUUGACAUCGUGAUCCGCCCGCCUUGGCCUCCCAAAGUGCUGGGAUUACAGGCAUGAGCCACCGCGCC